RNAcentral lists this ribosomal RNA (1347 nucleotides) under uncultured bacterium. RNAcentral describes it as "bacterial SSU rRNA". It matches the Rfam family "Bacterial small subunit ribosomal RNA", at positions 28 to 1381 of the family's 1533-position model. The record is from RNAcentral.
GAUGAACGCUGGCGGCGUGCUUAACACAUGCAAGUCGAACGGGAUCCAUCAGGCUUUGCUUGGUGGUGAGAGUGGCGAACGGGUGAGUAAUGCGUGACCGACCUGCCCCAUACACCGGAAUAGCUCCUGGAAACGGGUGGUAAUGCCGGAUGCUCCGACUCCUCGCAUGGGGUGUCGGGAAAGAUUUCAUCGGUAUGGGAUGGGGUCGCGUCCUAUCAGGUAGUCGGCGGGGUAACGGCCCACCGAGCCUACGACGGGUAGCCGGCCUGAGAGGGCGACCGGCCACAUUGGGACUGAGAUACGGCCCAGACUCCUACGGGAGGCAGCAGUGGGGAAUAUUGCACAGUGGGCGCAAGCCUGAUGCAGCGACGCCGCGUGCGGGAUGACGGCCUUCGGGUUGUAAACCGCUUUUGAUCGGGAGCAAGCCUUCGGGUGAGUGUACCUUUCGAAUAAGCACCGGCUAACUACGUGCCAGCAGCCGCGGUAAUACGUAGGGUGCAAGCGUUAUCCGGAAUUAUUGGGCGUAAAGGGCUCGUAGGCGGUUCGUCGCGUCCGGUGUGAAAGUCCAUCGCUUAACGGUGGAUCUGCGCCGGGUACGGGCGGGCUGGAGUGCGGUAGGGGAGACUGGAAUUCCCGGUGUAACGGUGGAAUGUGUAGAUAUCGGGAAGAACACCAAUGGCGAAGGCAGGUCUCUGGGCCGUUACUGACGCUGAGGAGCGAAAGCGUGGGGAGCGAACAGGAUUAGAUACCCUGGUAGUCCACGCCGUAAACGGUGGAUGCUGGAUGUGGGGCCCGUUCCACGGGUUCCGUGUCGGAGCUAACGCGUUAAGCAUCCCGCCUGGGGAGUACGGCCGCAAGGCUAAAACUCAAAGAAAUUGACGGGGGCCCGCACAAGCGGCGGAGCAUGCGGAUUAAUUCGAUGCAACGCGAAGAACCUUACCUGGGCUUGACAUGUCCCCGACAGCCGUAGAGAUAUGGCCUCCCUUCGGGGCGGGUUCACAGGUGGUGCAUGGUCGUCGUCAGCUCGUGUCGUGAGAUGUUGGGUUAAGUCCCGCAACGAGCGCAACCCUCGCCCUGUGUUGCCAGCACGUCAUGGUGGGAACUCACGGGGGACCGCCGGGGUCAACUCGGAGGAGGGUGGGGAUGACGUCAGAUCAUCGUGCCCCUUACGUCCAGGGCUUCACGCAUGCUACAAUGGCCGGUACAACGGGAUGCGACACGGCGACGUGGAGCGGAUCCCUGAAAACCGGUCUCAGUUCGGAUUGGAGUCUGCAACCCGACUCCAUGAAGGCGGAGUCGCUAGUAAUCGCGGAUCAGCAACGCCGCGGUGAAUGCGUUCCCGGGCCU